RNAcentral lists this ribosomal RNA (432 nucleotides) under uncultured bacterium. RNAcentral describes it as "bacterial SSU rRNA". It matches the Rfam family "Bacterial small subunit ribosomal RNA", at positions 29 to 507 of the family's 1533-position model. The record is from RNAcentral.
AACGAACGCUGGCGGCAUGCCUAACACAUGCAAGUCGAACGAGACCUUCGGGUCUAGUGGCGCACGGGUGCGUAACGCGUGGGAAUCUGCCCUAGGGUGCGGAAUAACUCGGAGAAAUCCGUGCUAAUACCGCAUAAUGUCUUCGGACCAAAGAUUUAUCGCCCUGGGAUGAGCCCGCGUAGGAUUAGCUAGUUGGUGGGGUAAAGGCCUACCAAGGCGACGAUCCUUAGCUGGUCUGAGAGGAUGAUCAGCCACACUGGGACUGAGACACGGCCCAGACUCCUACGGGAGGCAGCAGUGGGGAAUAUUGGACAAUGGGCGAAAGCCUGAUCCAGCAAUGCCGCGUGAGUGAUGAAGGCCCUAGGGUUGUAAAGCUCUUUUACCGGGAUGAUAAUGACAGUACCGGGAGAAUAAGCUCCGGCUAACUCCGUG